RNAcentral lists this ribosomal RNA (238 nucleotides) under uncultured bacterium. RNAcentral describes it as "partial 16S ribosomal RNA". It matches the Rfam family "Bacterial small subunit ribosomal RNA", at positions 98 to 339 of the family's 1533-position model. The record is from RNAcentral.
GCGGACGGGUGAGUAAUGCGUGGGAAUCUACCUGGUAGUGGGGGACAACAGUUGGAAACGACUGCUAAUACCGCAUACGCCCUACGGGGGAAAGCGGGGGAUCUUCGGACCUCGUGCUAUCAGAUGAGCCCGCGUGAGAUUAGCUAGUUGGUGGGGUAAAGGCCUACCAAGGCGACGAUCUCUAGCUGGUCUGAGAGGAUGAUCAGCCACACUGGGACUGAGACACGGCCCAGACUCC